UCCGCUGUGCUGGGCGCCGCCCGCGCUCUGGCGCCCGCCUGCCGAACCCGGGCGCUGCUUCGUCUUCCUCACCGCCAAUCUGUGCCUGCUCCCCGACGGGCAAGCGCGCUUCGGCAACCUACCGCACAGCCAGCGACCGGCCGAGGCCAUUGGCGCCGCGCGGCCCGCGCUCUACAGGGCUACGGACUGCAGCCAGCCGUGGUCCAGGGCGCCGCGCGGGACGCUGGUGGCCUCGCUGCCCGUGGGUCUGGACUUUGUGUGCCUGCAGGAGGUAUUCGAUCUGCGCAGGGCUCGUCGCUUGGUGAAUCGCCUGGCGCCCAACCUGGGCCCGUUGCUGUACGACGUGGGCACGCUCGGCCUACAGCCCGGGCGGCACCUCAAGCUGCUGGACAGCGGGCUGCUGCUGGCCUCGCGCUACCCGCUGCUGCGCGCCACCUUCCGUUGCUUCCCCCACGCACGUGGCGAGGACGCGCUGGCCUCCAAGGGACUACCGUCCGCACAGGCGAGGCUGGGCAGCCUGGACGGGCGCCGCAUCGUGGGAUUCCUGCACUGCACGCAUUUGCAAGCACUGGCUG
Molecule: RNA transcript, 575 nt
Organism: Homo sapiens (human)
Lineage: Eukaryota; Metazoa; Chordata; Mammalia; Primates; Hominidae
Gene: SMPD5
Gene name: sphingomyelin phosphodiesterase 5 (pseudogene)
Exons: 2
Source: RefSeq, marked validated